AUACGGAGGUGGCGAGCGUUAUCCGGAAUUACUGGGUGUAAAGGGUGUGUAGGCGGGAAGGCAAGUCGGAUGUGAAAAUUAUGGGCUCAACCCAUAAAGUGCGACCGAAACUGUUUUUCUUGAGGAUCGGAGAGGUAAUGAGAAUUCCCGGUGUAGCGGUGAAAUGCGCAGAGAUCGGGAGGAAUACCGGUGGCGAAGGCGAAUUACUGGACGAUAACUGACGCUGAGACACGAAAGCGUGGGGAGCAAACAGGAUUAGAUACCCUAGUAGUCCACGCUGUAAACGAUGACAACUAAAUAUUGCCGCGAGGCAGUGUUGAAGCUAACGCAUUAAGUUGUCCGCCUGGGGAGUACGGUCGCAAGACUGAAACUUAAAGGAAUUGACGGGU
This 389-nucleotide ribosomal RNA is filed under the name uncultured bacterium. Its description in RNAcentral is "partial 16S ribosomal RNA". It matches the Rfam family "Bacterial small subunit ribosomal RNA", at positions 523 to 918 of the family's 1533-position model. The record is from RNAcentral.